CCAUACAUAUAUAUCAUCUGUUUAAAAUAGACUUUAUUUUUUGGAACAGUUUUAGAUUUACAGAAAAAUUGAUAGUACAGAGAGGUCCCAUGUGCUCUGCUCCUAGUUCCCCUUACUAUAAACAUGUUGCUAUGGUGCAUUUGUUAUAAUUAAUGAAUCAGUACUGGUGCAUUGUUAGCAACUAAAGUCCAUACAUUAUUCACAUUCUCUCAGGUUUUUUUUUUUUUUUUUGAGACAGAGUAUCACUCUGUUGCCCAGGCUGGGGUGCAGUGGCACGAUCUCAGCUCACUGCAGGUUCUGCCUCCUGGGUUCAAGUGAUUCUUCUGCCUCAGCCUCCUGAGUAGCUGGGAUUACAGGUGCGCCACCACGCCUGGCUAAUUUUUGUAAUUUUAGUAGAGAUGGGGUUUCACCAUGUUGGCCAGGCAGGUCUCGAACGCCUGACCUCAAGUGAUCUGCCUGCCUCGGCCUCCCAAAGUGCUGGGAUUAUAGGCGUGCGCCACCGCGUCCAGUCACAUUUUCUCAGUUUUUAUGUGAUAUCCUUUUACUGUUUCAGGAUCCUAUCCAGGGUACCACAUUACAUUUACUUGUUGAGUCUCUUUAAGCUAUGGCAGUCUCUCAACUAUGUGCAUCUCAGACUUUCCUUGUUUCUGAUGACCUUGGCAAUAUUGAGGAGUACUGGUCAAGUAUUUUGUAAAAUACCCCUUGACUGGCAUUUGUCUGAUAUUUUUCUCGUGAUGGGGGUUAGGGGUUUAGGGGAGGAAGGCCAUGCACACAGACAACAUGACUUCUCGCCACUGUUGAUGUUGACCUUGAUCAGCUGGGUGAGAUAGUGCUGGUCAUGUUUUUCCACUGUAAAGUUACUCUCCCCACUCCCCUUUCUGUGCUACACUCUUGGAAGGAGGUCACUAUGGGCAGCCACACUUAAGGGAUGGGGAGGUAUUCUUCACCUCUCUGAGGAUGGAGUAUUUACACAAACGACUUAAAAUUCUUCUACAUGGGUGAUUUGUCUCUUCUCCCAGCAACAUACGUAUUUUUAAUUUAUAUUACCUUGAAACAGUUCCUGUAGCUUUCAACAACUAAAAGAAGCCCUUACAAACCAUCCAGUUCAGGAGAUGCAAACUCAAAUGUCUGCAGUGGCCAGG
Molecule: long non-coding RNA, 1142 nt
Filed under: Macaca fascicularis (crab-eating macaque)
Lineage: Eukaryota; Metazoa; Chordata; Mammalia; Primates; Cercopithecidae
Description: lncRNA (ENSMFAG00000056617.1)
Source: RNAcentral